GCGGGGUUGGCAGAAUGGUUAUGCGCCGGCCUGCAGAGCCGAGGAAGAGGGUUCAAUUCCCUCACCCCGCU
Molecule: transfer RNA, 71 nt
Filed under: Candidatus Iainarchaeum sp.
Lineage: Archaea; Nanobdellati; Candidatus Iainarchaeota; Candidatus Iainarchaeia; Candidatus Iainarchaeales; Candidatus Iainarchaeaceae
Also listed under: 1 other name
Description: tRNA-Cys
Rfam family: tRNA
About the family: Transfer RNA (tRNA) molecules are approximately 80 nucleotides in length.
Source: RNAcentral